GCACUGCUGACGUGUCUCAAACAGGACGAAACAGCUGUCCAGUGC
This is a non-coding RNA of Echinostoma caproni, 45 nucleotides long. NCBI's taxonomy places the organism in Eukaryota, Metazoa, Platyhelminthes, Trematoda, Plagiorchiida, Echinostomatidae. The record is from Rfam.